Molecule: ribosomal RNA, 373 nt
Filed under: uncultured organism
Description: partial 16S ribosomal RNA
Rfam family: Bacterial small subunit ribosomal RNA
Source: RNAcentral
GGAGGGUGCAAGCGUUAAUCGGGAAUUACUGGGGCGUAAAGGGUGCGUAGGUGGAAGAAUAAGUUGGAUGUGAAAGCCCUGGGGCUCAACCUAGGGAAUUGCAUUCAAUACUGUUCAUCUAGAGUACAGUAGAGGGGAGUGGAAUUUCCGGUGUAGCGGUGAAAUGCGUAGAUAUCGGAAGGAACAUCAGUGGCGAAGGCGACUCUCUGGACUGAUACUGACGCUGAGGCACGAAAGCGUGGGGAGCAAACAGGAUUAGAUACCCUGGUAGUCCACGCCGUAAAUGGUGAGAACUAGCUGUUUGGAGUUUACUCUGAGUGGCGAAGCUAACGCGAUAAGUUCUCCGCCUGGGGAGUACGGCCGCAAAGGCUAA